This 760-nucleotide ribosomal RNA is filed under the name uncultured marine haptophyte. Its description in RNAcentral is "bacterial SSU rRNA". It matches the Rfam family "Bacterial small subunit ribosomal RNA", at positions 544 to 1312 of the family's 1533-position model. Lineage: Eukaryota; Haptophyta. The record is from RNAcentral.
UCCGGAAUCAUUGGGCGUAAAGCGCUUGUAGGUUGUUUAAUAAGUCUGUUGUUAAAGACUAGGGCUUAACCCUAGGAAAGCAAUGGAAACUACUAGACUUGAGUAUGAUAGGGGUAGAGGGAAUUUCUAGUGUAGCGGUGAAAUGCGUAGAUAUUAGGAAGAACACCGGUGGCGAAGGCGCUCUACUGGAUCAUUACUGACACUCAGAGGCGAAAGCUAGGGUAGCAAAAGGGAUUAGAUACCCCUGUAGUCCUAGCCGUAAACGAUGGAUACUAGAUGUUGCGUUUAUUAUGCAGUAUCGUAGCUAACGCGUUAAGUAUCCCGCCUGGGGAGUACGCUCGCAAGGGUGAAACUCAAAGGAAUUGACGGAGGCCCGCACAAGCGGUGGAGCAUGUGGUUUAAUUCGAUGCAACGCGAAGAACCUUACCAAGGCUUGACAUACUACAAAUUUUUCUGAGAAGAAAAAGUGCCUUCGGGAAUGUAGAUACAGGUGGUGCAUGGCUGUCGUCAGCUCGUGUCGUGAGAUGUUGGGUUAAGUCCCGCAACGAGCGCAACCCUUGUUUUUAGUUGCCAAUUUAUUGGGUUUUCUAGAAAGACUGCCGGUGACAAACCGGAGGAAGGUGAGGAUGACGUCAAGUCAGCAUGCCCCUUAUGCCUUGGGCUACACACGUGCUACAAUGGCUAGGACAAAGAGUUGCGAGCUCGCGAGAGUCAGCUAAUCUCAUAAACUUAGCCUAAGUUCGGAUUGUAGGCUGCAACU